Hibiscus syriacus is the source of this 260-nucleotide long non-coding RNA. RefSeq lists it as uncharacterized. The transcript has 4 exons. The record is from RefSeq and is a predicted model, not a curated record. Lineage: Eukaryota; Viridiplantae; Streptophyta; Magnoliopsida; Malvales; Malvaceae.
GCCACAAGACCUUAACUAUCAACAACAAGACCCUAGCCAGCCUCUGUCAGGCUUCAGUCCGCCGUUUUCCGCUACGAACCAGCCUUACUCGGGGUUUAAUCAGCCAUUUUCUAGUACCAACCAGCCUUUCGGGGGUACUAACCAAGCUGGCUCAAUGGAUUACGCUGCUUUUGAUAAUGGGGUUCCGAAGAUGAUGACUUGCAUUCAAGGUGUUGCCUUGGUUUGUCUACUUACGUUGAUGGUUUGCUUUGGCUUUUAGA